Molecule: ribosomal RNA, 781 nt
Filed under: uncultured Neocallimastigales
Lineage: Eukaryota; Fungi; Neocallimastigomycota; Neocallimastigomycetes; Neocallimastigales
Description: partial large subunit ribosomal RNA
Rfam family: Eukaryotic large subunit ribosomal RNA
Source: RNAcentral
CGUCUAUAUACGUAUAGCAUAUCAAUAAGCGGAGGAAAAGAAACUAACUAGGAUUCCCUCAGUAACGGCGAGUGAAGCGGGAAGAGCUCAAAUUUGAAAUCUUCAAGGUUCUACCUUGACGAAUUGUAGUUUAAAGAAGUGUUUUCUGUUGGAAUUUUGGUAAAAGUUCUUUGGAAAUAGGACAUCAAUAGAGGGUGAGAAUCCCGUAUUUGACCAUUAUUUCCAGCUUUGUGAUACACUUUCAAAGAGUCGGAUUGUUUGGGAAUGCAGUCCAAAAUGGGUGGUAAAUUUCAUCUAAAGCUAAAUACUGGCGAGAGACCGAUAGCGAACAAGUACCGUGAGGGAAAGAUGAAAAGAACUUUGAAAAGAGAGUUAAACAGUACGUGAAAUUGUCAAAAGGGAAGCGUUUGACACCAGUGUUGUUUUCUCGAAAAUCAAUUAAAAAUGGUGGGAUUUUGUGUUGUAUUGACUUUAUCAGCUUUCUGCACUUUUUUCCUGUCUUUUUUAAUGCACUUUUCGUUUAACAAGUCAACAUCAAUUUCUUUUGUUGUAAAAGGGUCAUUGGAAGGUGGCUUUCAUUUCGGAUGAAAGUGUUUAUAGCCUUUGGACUUCUGCAAUCGGAGAGAUUGAGGUCUGCAGCGUAGAUCCUUCGGGGUUAGAUACAUUUGUGCUAAGCUAUAGCCUUUUCAUAGACAACAUUGUUGACUAUGAUUCAUCAUGUAGCUUACUCGCUUAUGUCUAUUCUACCUACGCUUAGGAUGUUGACGAUCAGCUGAGCGCG